AACAAGGCGUACCUGCGGACCUGCGGAGGGAUCAUUAUCCAUCCAAAACCAGCUGCGGUCGCGGCCCCACGCUUACCCGUGGCGGUACGCGCCGCACGUCUGCACCCUUUUUUUACGAGUACCUUCGUUCUCCCUCGGCAGGGCAACCUGCCGUUGGAACCAUACAAAACCUUUUUUUGCAUCUAGCAUUACCUGUUCUGAUACAAACAAUCGUUACAACUUUCAGCAACGGAUCUCAGA
This 240-nucleotide unclassified non-coding RNA is filed under the name soil metagenome. RNAcentral describes it as "partial contains 5.8S ribosomal RNA, internal transcribed spacer 2, and large subunit ribosomal RNA". The record is from RNAcentral.